This 83-nucleotide transfer RNA is filed under the name Candidatus Ruania gallistercoris. RNAcentral describes it as "tRNA-Ser". It matches the Rfam family "tRNA". Rfam says of the family: Transfer RNA (tRNA) molecules are approximately 80 nucleotides in length. Their secondary structure includes four short double-helical elements and three loops (D, anti-codon, and T loops). Further hydrogen bonds mediate the characteristic L-shaped molecular structure. tRNAs have two regions of fundamental functional importance: the anti-codon, which is responsible for specific mRNA codon recognition, and the 3' end, to which the tRNAs corresponding amino acid is attached (by aminoacyl-tRNA synthetases). tRNAs cope with the degeneracy of the genetic code in two manners: having more than one tRNA (with a specific anti-codon) for a particular amino acid; and 'wobble' base-pairing, i.e. permitting non-standard base-pairing at the 3rd anti-codon position. The record is from RNAcentral. Lineage: Bacteria; Bacillati; Actinomycetota; Actinomycetes; Micrococcales; Ruaniaceae.
GGAGGGUUGACAGAGCGGCCGAAUGUGACGGUCUUGAAAACCGUUGUGCGCAAGCACCAAGGGUUCGAAUCCCUUACCCUCCG